UGGUCACAAGUUACAACUUUUCAAUUUCUGCACCUUUUCUAAAACAUAAAAUGGUACGAUUCACAUCCUUUCCAGAUCAAACGAGCUCCAAUGAGAAGUACAAUUUCUAACUUAUGACAUAAUUAAUGAUACUUCAAUAAAUUAAAUGCCCUGCCCUGUUCUUCAGAAAGACCACUGCAGAACAUCUGCAGGCUGCCACCACC
This 203-nucleotide long non-coding RNA is filed under the name Carica papaya (papaya). Its description in RNAcentral is "long non-coding RNA (CPAP_LNC005038)". Lineage: Eukaryota; Viridiplantae; Streptophyta; Magnoliopsida; Brassicales; Caricaceae. The record is from RNAcentral.